Molecule: ribosomal RNA, 497 nt
Filed under: uncultured bacterium
Lineage: Bacteria
Description: partial 16S ribosomal RNA
Rfam family: Bacterial small subunit ribosomal RNA
Source: RNAcentral
GAUGAACGCUGGCGGAGUGUAUAAUACAUGCAAGUCGAGCGAACGGACGAGAAGCUUGCUUCUCUGAUGUUAGCGGCGGACGGGUGAGUAACACGUGGAUAACCUACCUAUAAGACUGGGAUAACUUCGGGAAACCGGAGCUAAUACCGGAUAAUAUUUUGAACCGCAUGGUUCAAAAGUGAAAGACGGUCUUGCUGUCACUUAUAGAUGGAUCCGCGCUGCAUUAGCUAGUUGGUAAGGUAACGGCUUACCAAGGCAACGAUGCAUAGCCGACCUGAGAGGGUGAUCGGCCACACUGGAACUGAGACACGGUCCAGACUCCUACGGGAGGCAGCAGUAGGGAAUCUUCCGCAAUGGGCGAAAGCCUGACGGAGCAACGCCGCGUGAGUGAUGAAGGUCUUCGGAUCGUAAAACUCUGUUAUUAGGGAAGAACAUAUGUGUAAGUAACUGUGCACAUCUUGACGGUACCUAAUCAGAAAGCCACGGCUAACUACGUG